RNAcentral lists this long non-coding RNA (664 nucleotides) under Helianthus annuus (common sunflower). RNAcentral describes it as "hypothetical non coding rna". The record is from RNAcentral. Lineage: Eukaryota; Viridiplantae; Streptophyta; Magnoliopsida; Asterales; Asteraceae.
UUGAAACAAGCAGGAGCCGAACAUUGGGUCAUCAUAACAAACCAAUAUUUAAUCUCCUACUAAAGAAGGUUUCACAUGCCUGCCUAGAGUUGAUAUCAGACGAAGUAAAUGAAAUAGAAAAAUUAAUGUUAUAUAACCGUACAUGCGCGUGCCGUUUGUAUACAAGUUGUGGGUUGCCGUGCGCGUGUCGGUUGGAACCGUAUACAACGAAUGGUGAAAUGAUCCCGUUGGAGUUGAUAGACCCUUUUUGGAGAAAGUUAAAUUUGGACUCCAUAGUGGAACCGAGCAAGGUGGACUCUUUCGACUUAGACGGCGAAUUUGCGCUUCUCAAACAACAUUUAAGUGCUCAGCCGAGAGAACUCAAGAAAAACUUGAUUCAAAAGAUGAAGGAGUUGGUACAACUCAAUAAGACGAAGCUUAAACAACCAGUUGUGCAAAAAAACACACGGGGUCGUCCAACUUUAAAAGCUCAGCAACAAAGGAAGGAUGAUUCGUUUACGGAGCCUUCUAGACACAGCUUUUUUACAACGCAGGACCAGUAUAGUGAUUCACAAGAUGGGUUUGGCACACAAGAGUCAGCGAUCGAACCUACCAGGCACAGCUCGUUUGUCGAGUCACAAAGUUAUUGUACUGAAACACCUAUGUUCUUCGGCGAGAUUGCGAA